RNAcentral lists this ribosomal RNA (253 nucleotides) under uncultured bacterium. RNAcentral's name for it is "partial 16S ribosomal RNA". It matches the Rfam family "Bacterial small subunit ribosomal RNA", at positions 524 to 776 of the family's 1533-position model. The record is from RNAcentral.
UACGGAGGGUGCGAGCGUUGUCCGGAAUCACUGGGCGUAAAGGGCGCGUAGGCGGCGCGACAAGGCGGCGGUGAAAGUCCGGGGCUCAACCCCGGAUCGGCCGUGGCGACUGUCGCGCUGGAGCACAGUAGAGGCGGGGGGAAUUCCGGGUGUAGCGGUGGAAUGCGUAGAGAUCCGGAAGAACACCGGUGGCGAAGGCGGCCCGCUGGGCUGUGGCUGACGCUGAGGCGCGACAGCGUGGGGAGCAAACAGG